This 401-nucleotide ribosomal RNA is filed under the name uncultured Glomus. RNAcentral describes it as "SSU rRNA". It matches the Rfam family "Eukaryotic small subunit ribosomal RNA", at positions 638 to 1043 of the family's 1831-position model. The record is from RNAcentral. Lineage: Eukaryota; Fungi; Glomeromycota; Glomeromycetes; Glomerales; Glomeraceae.
AUUUCGGGAUCAAUAUGUUGGUCGUGCCAUUGGUACGUACUGGUAUCAUUGAUUUCUCCUUUCUGACGAACCAUGAUGUCAUUAAUUUGGUGUUAUGGGGAGUUAGGACUGUUACUUUGAAAAAACUAGAGUGUUUAAAGCAGGCAUUAGCUUGAAUACAUUAGCAUGGAAUAAUGAAAUAGGACGUUUGACCCUAUUUUGUUGGUUUCUAGGAUCGACGUAAUGAUUAAUAGGGAUAGUUGGGGGCAUUAGUAUUCAAUUGUCAGAGGUGAAAUUCUUGGAUUUAUUGAAGACUAACUACUGCGAAAGCAUUUGCCAAGGAUGUUUUCAUUAAUCAAGAACGAAAGUUAGGGGAUCGAAGACGAUCAGAUACCGUCGUAGUCUUAACCAUAAACUAUGCC